RNAcentral lists this ribosomal RNA (169 nucleotides) under uncultured Sphingobium sp. RNAcentral describes it as "partial 16S ribosomal RNA". The stretch from base 1 to 151 matches the Rfam family "Bacterial small subunit ribosomal RNA", at positions 371 to 535 of the family's 1533-position model. Lineage: Bacteria; Pseudomonadati; Pseudomonadota; Alphaproteobacteria; Sphingomonadales; Sphingobiaceae. The record is from RNAcentral.
AUGGGNGCANCCCUGGAUCCAGCAAUGCCGCGGUGGAGGUGAUGAAGGCCUUAGGGUUGUAAAGCUCUUUUACCCGGGAUGAUAAUGACAGUACCGGGAGAAUAAGCCCCGGCUAACUCCGUGCCAGCAGCCGCGGUAAUACGACANCAGCCGCGGUAAUACGAUACGA